GUCACAUCUAAGCUUCCACAAAUAACACAGUAACAAGGAUUCAAAAAAAAAUGGGACAAAAAUAAAAUAAACCACAAACAAGUAAACAUCAAGUUGACGUGACAUAACUAUGUCACAUCUAGAUGUGACAUAACUAUGUCACAUCUAGAUGUGUAUAGACCCUUAUGUUUCCUCUUUCAUGGCCUCGCGUCUGUUAAGCUCACAAUCUCUAUUGACUUGCAUACAGAGAAAUUAAUUGGCUUAUAUUUUCCUUUUUUCUGUUCAGUCAGUGCAAGCCAGCCGAGCUGUACCCAUGAUGAAGCCUAAACUUUUGGGCGAUACUCUGCGCCGGUGCACCGGCCAAACGAUUCGGCCGGUCCACCUAGGACCGUAGGAUUCCUAGCGAUGCCAAUGAUUGCUAGCCAUCGGAUAUGCCUCUCCCGCUUUGUCCUUCUUCUUCAGCGAGCGCCGCAUAUCAGCUACAGGAUGCUGCGGCGCUAUCGACCCCCCGCCAUAAUCCCCCGCGAGGCGACCGAGUCCGAAGCACCGCCGCACGCCGGGCUCGCCGACGUUCGCCGCCCUCACGCAAUCUCCUCCUCCCGCUCAAAAAUUGAUCCAUGGAGGCACGUAUCCUCGCCGGUUCCAACAUGAAAAAUCCUCAUGCGCGCCAUCAGAUGCAGCUCCCGCCUCGUUGAUGAUUGCAGCUCCGUCGUCAUCCCCCGCUUGCAGCUCAGCUCCGCCGUCGUCCCCUGCCUGCAGCUCCGCCGCCGUCCCCUGCUUACAGCUUAUCUCCGCAGUCGAUGGACCAAUGGAGACGACGAAGUAACUCGCAAAAAAUCACUAUAUAUGGUUCCAACAACCAAAUUUGCCGCUUGUAGCAUUUCAAGUCGCUGGUUGAAGCUCAUUUUGCAAUGGUCGAAGAAUUCAGGCCACCUGGUUCCAGCAUAUUACCCGCAGGUUCCUCAUCGCCGUCAAGGUCGCAGUAUCAUUGUGUUCGCUGUCUACCACCAUCUUAGCAAACUCUGUUAGUAGCAAUCUGACAUCUCUGGUAGUAGCAAAACUCCGAUACGGUUGCAGCAACAAAAAUCCAUCGCCGCCGUCGAGCAACGCCGCCGUGGAUGGAAGUAGCAAAAAUUGACUUUGGUUCUAGCAAAAUCAAACAUGGUUGUAGCAAAAAUAAUCGAUCAGAAAAACACAGGGAUGUAGCAUCUCGUGAGAAUGAAUGUAGCAAUCGUCAACACCCGUGGUAACAAAAAACUGACAAAAAGGUUGCAUCAAGAAACACACUCCUGGGUCUCGCAUAUCAUGAAGAUCGGAUGUAGCAAGAAUUCGACAAACACAGGCAGUAACAAAAAAUCAAAACGGUUGUAGCAAAAUCGUUCGCCGGUUCUAGCAAAAAAACACCAUGGGAGGAGAUUUGGGGCGGGGGUGGGUGGAAGCAAAAACAUGAGCCGGUUCCAGCAAAAUCAAAACAAGGUUGUAGCAAAAUCAAAACAAGGUUGUAGCUAGACAGGACGUUGGUGGUAGCAAUUUUCAUUGCCGGUUGUAGCAUGUAGCACAAAAAUCCGCGCCGCUCGUCCUCGCCAAAUGUUGCUUGGAGCAGCGCUGCCCGUCCUCGCCGUCCGUGGUCACCACGCUCAUCUAGCCCCUCGUCUCCAACAAACAAGGAUGGUGGUAGCAAAAAAGUUGGCUGAAUCCAGCAAAAAAAGAACACGGUGGUAGCAAAUUAGGAAAAGAUGAGCCCCGGUUCCAGCAAACAAAGGAUGGUGGUAGCAAAAACUUGAAUGGAUCCAGCAAAAACAAAACACGGUGGAAGCAAAUUUUGGAGCUCUUUCCAGCAAAAACAAUGAUUCCAACAAAAAAAAUCAUCGUCUCCGUUUGCCGGCCACCGGGCGCAGUCACCAUCGUCGGCGGGCCACCCGGCGCAGGUCCCAGGACGACGGAUGACUGGUUCCAGCAUGGUUCGUCGCCGGUUCCGGCACGCGGCGCGGUCGUGCAGUAGGAGCCCGCCGUCGAUAAAAAAAAGCAUCGGCGUCGGCCAGGUCGAGCAUGCGAUGAUGUCCCCCCAUACAGCCCCGCCCAACCUCCCAAGCAUGACGCCCUCGCAUCUGGCCUGCUUCUCAGCUAGCGGCCAUUGCUGGGAUUAAAAGGGAAGUGUUGUUCGGCUCGACGGCAGUGAGAAGCUGGGCGCUGGGAUAGGCAGCAGAGAAAGAGAUGGGGAAAAAAUGAGUGGUACACGCAUGAGAGGAUAAGGAAGGAAGAUGCUUC
Molecule: ribosomal RNA, 2247 nt
Filed under: Triticum aestivum (bread wheat)
Lineage: Eukaryota; Viridiplantae; Streptophyta; Magnoliopsida; Poales; Poaceae
Description: partial small subunit ribosomal RNA
Source: RNAcentral